CAAUAGAUCAGAAGCACCACUUCUACUCCUCAGCUGCAAUAGCUUCUUCUUUCUUCUCAACUUUCUCUUCUGGUUCAGUAUCGACUUUUUCCACCUCAUUUGGCUCGGUUUCUGUUUCUUUCUUGGUUUCAUCUGGUUUAGCUUCUGGUUCUUUGGUUUCUUCGGCCUCUGGUUGUGGCUCUGGUGCCACCUUUGCAGGUUGUUCCACAGAGCUAACCUCCUUACCUUCUUCUUUAUCUUCAUCGUUGAGCACUAACUUGGUUUCAGCCUCAACUGCAAGGGCUUCAGAUUCGGCUUCUGGUUCUGGUUCAGGAGCUACAAGUUCAGAUUCUGGUUUAGGUUGAGGUGCAACCGUGUAAGCAGGUUCUUUAGCAAGCUGGUCUUCUUCUUGUGGUGUAGUUACUGUUGUUUCUUGAUCAUUUGUGUUCUUGAUGUCGUCUUCAG
RNAcentral lists this long non-coding RNA (444 nucleotides) under Lactuca sativa (garden lettuce). RNAcentral describes it as "long non-coding RNA (LSAT_LNC009801)". The record is from RNAcentral. Lineage: Eukaryota; Viridiplantae; Streptophyta; Magnoliopsida; Asterales; Asteraceae.